This 133-nucleotide transfer RNA is filed under the name Caudoviricetes sp. RNAcentral's name for it is "tRNA-Gly". It matches the Rfam family "tRNA". From Rfam's summary of the family: Transfer RNA (tRNA) molecules are approximately 80 nucleotides in length. Their secondary structure includes four short double-helical elements and three loops (D, anti-codon, and T loops). Lineage: Duplodnaviria; Heunggongvirae; Uroviricota; Caudoviricetes. The record is from RNAcentral.
GUGGAUAUGGUGUAAUGGUAACAUGACAGCCUUCCCAUGGUGUAGUUUAAAAGUAAAACUAUUAAUGUAAGUGCAAGACUUACCAUCGUGACCAAAGCUGUGGUUGGGGGUUCGAAUCCCCUUAUCCACUCCA